GGGGGGGGGGGGGGGGGGGGGUGGGGGGGGGAGGGGGGGGGGGGGGGGUGGUGGGGGUGGCGGGCGGGUGGGUAACGCGUAAGAACCUGCCCUUGGGAGGGGAACACCAGCUGGAAACGGCUGCUAAUACCCCGUCGGCUGAGGAGCGAGAGGAGGAAUCCGCCCAAGGAGGGGCUCGCGUCUGAUUAGCUAGUUGGUGAGGUAAUAGCUUACCAAGGCCGUGAUCAGUAGCUGGUCCGGGAGGAUGAUCAGCCACACUGGGACUGAGACAAGGCCCAGACUCCUACGGGAGGCAGCAGUGGGGAAGUUUCCGCAAUGGGCGAAAGCCUGACGGAGCAAUGCCGCGUGGAGGUAAAAGGCCUACGGGUCAUGAACUUCUUUUCCUGGAGAAGAAACAAUGACGGUAUCUGGGGAAUAAGCAUCGGCUAACUCUGUG
RNAcentral lists this ribosomal RNA (436 nucleotides) under uncultured bacterium. RNAcentral's name for it is "partial 16S ribosomal RNA". The stretch from base 48 to 436 matches the Rfam family "Bacterial small subunit ribosomal RNA", at positions 39 to 507 of the family's 1533-position model. The record is from RNAcentral.